GAUGAAGAACGCAGUGAAAUGCGAUAAGUAAUGUGAAUUGCAGAAUCCCGUGAACCAUCGAGUCUUUGAACGCAAGUUGCGCCCGAAGCCAUUAGGCCGAGGGCACGCCUGCCUGGGUGUCACACACCGUUACCCUCGCGCCAACGUCCAUCGUUGGCCGCGGCGCGGGGCGUGCGCUGACCUCCCGCGAGCGGGGUCUCGUGGUUGGUUGAAAAUCGAGUUCGCGGUCGAGGGUGCCGUGAUGAAAUGGUGGAUGGGCGACGCCCGAGGCCAAUCACGCGCGACUCUGUCCGGCUCGGACUCCUGGACCCCUUCGGCGUCUCCGGACGCUCUUUGGCGAGACCUCAGGUCAGGCGGGGCUACCCGCUGAGUUUAAGCAUAUCAAUAAGCGGAGGA
RNAcentral lists this unclassified non-coding RNA (396 nucleotides) under soil metagenome. RNAcentral describes it as "partial contains 5.8S ribosomal RNA, internal transcribed spacer 2, and large subunit ribosomal RNA". The stretch from base 1 to 122 matches the Rfam family "5.8S ribosomal RNA", at positions 35 to 154 of the family's 154-position model. The record is from RNAcentral.